RNAcentral lists this ribosomal RNA (437 nucleotides) under uncultured Oscillospiraceae bacterium. RNAcentral describes it as "bacterial SSU rRNA". It matches the Rfam family "Bacterial small subunit ribosomal RNA", at positions 341 to 792 of the family's 1533-position model. The record is from RNAcentral. Lineage: Bacteria; Bacillati; Bacillota; Clostridia; Eubacteriales; Oscillospiraceae.
ACGGGAGGCAGCAGUGGGGAAUAUUGGGCAAUGGGCGAAAGCCUGACCCAGCAACGCCGCGUGAAGGAAGAAGGUCUUCGGAUUGUAAACUUCUUUUAUGAGGGACGAAACAAAUGACGGUACCUCAUGAAUAAGCCACGGCUAACUACGUGCCAGCAGCCGCGGUAAUACGUAGGUGGCAAGCGUUAUCCGGAUUUACUGGGUGUAAAGGGCGCGUAGGCGGGAAUGCAAGUCAGAUGUGAAAUCUCUGGGCUCAACCCAGAAACUGCAUUUGAAACUGUAUUUCUUGAGUGCUGGAGAGGUAGAUGGAAUUCCUAGUGUAGCGGUGAAAUGCGUAGAUAUUAGGAGGAACAUCAGUGGCGAAGGCGGCUUACUGGGCUUUAACUGACGCUGAGGCUCGAAAGCGUGGGGAGCAAACAGGAUUAGAUACCCUGGUA